GACGAACGCUGGCGGCGUGCCUAAUACAUGCAAGUAGAACGCUGAAGGAGGAGCUUGCUUCUCUGGAUGAGUUGCGAACGGGUGAGUAACGCGUAGGUAACCUGCCUGGUAGCGGGGGAUAACUAUUGGAAACGAUAGCUAAUACCGCAUAAGAGUAGAUGUUGCAUGACAUUCGCUUAAAAGGUGCAAUUGCAUCACUACCAGAUGGACCUGCGUUGUAUUAGCUAGUUGGUGGGGUAACGGCUCACCAAGGCGACGAUACAUAGCCGACCUGAGAGGGUGAUCGGCCAAACUGGGACUGGAGCACGGCCCAGAACACUACGGGAGGGAGCAGUAGGGAAUCAUUGGCCAUGGACGGAAGGCUGAACGAGGAACGCCGGGGGAGGGAAGGAAGGUGUCGGAUCGUAAAACUCUGUUGUAAGGGAAGAACGAGUAUGAGAGUGGAAAGUUCACACUGUGACGGUAUCUUAACAGAAAGGAACGGCUAACUACGUG
RNAcentral lists this ribosomal RNA (495 nucleotides) under uncultured bacterium. RNAcentral describes it as "partial 16S ribosomal RNA". It matches the Rfam family "Bacterial small subunit ribosomal RNA", at positions 28 to 507 of the family's 1533-position model. The record is from RNAcentral.